This 468-nucleotide ribosomal RNA is filed under the name uncultured bacterium. RNAcentral describes it as "partial 16S ribosomal RNA". It matches the Rfam family "Bacterial small subunit ribosomal RNA", at positions 28 to 523 of the family's 1533-position model. The record is from RNAcentral.
GAUGAACGCUGGCGGCGUGCCUAACACAUGCAAGUCGAGCGAUUCUCUUCGGAGAAGAGCGGCGGACGGGUGAGUAACGCGUGGGUAACCUGCCCUGUACACACGGAUAACAUACCGAAAGGUAUGCUAAUACGAGAUAAUAUGCUUUUAUCGCAUGGUAGAAGUAUCAAAGCUUUUGCGGUACAGGAUGGACCCGCGUCUGAUUAGCUAGUUGGUAAGGUAACGGCUUACCAAGGCGACGAUCAGUAGCCGACCUGAGAGGGUGAUCGGCCACAUUGGAACUGAGACACGGGCCAAACUCCUACGGGAGGCAGCAGUGGGGAAUAUUGCACAAUGGGCGAAAGCCUGAUGCAGCAACGCCGCGUGAGCGAUGAAGGCCUUCGGGUCGUAAAGCUCUGUCCUCAAGGAAGAUAAUGACGGUACUUGAGGAGGAAGCCCCGGCUAACUACGUGCCAGCCGCCGCUGUAA